This 496-nucleotide ribosomal RNA is filed under the name uncultured bacterium. RNAcentral describes it as "partial 16S ribosomal RNA". It matches the Rfam family "Bacterial small subunit ribosomal RNA", at positions 29 to 507 of the family's 1533-position model. The record is from RNAcentral.
AUGAACGCUGGCGGCGUGCCUAAUACAUGCAAGUCGAGCGAACAGACGAGGAGCUUGCUCCUCUGACGUUAGCGGCGGACGGGUGAGUAACACGUGGAUAACCUACCUAUAAGACUGGGAUAACUUCGGGAAACCGGAGCUAAUACCGGAUAAUAUAUUGAACCGCCUGGUUCAAUAGUGAAAGACGGUUUUGCUGUCACUUAUAGAUGGAUCCGCGCCGCAUUAGCUAGUUGGUAAGGUAACGGCUUACCAAGGCAACGAUGCGUAGCCGACCUGAGAGGGUGAUCGGCCACACUGGAACUGAGACACGGUCCAGACUCCUACGGGAGGCAGCAGUAGGGAAUCUUCCGCAAUGGGCGAAAGCCUGACGGAGCAACGCCGCGUGAGUGAUGAAGGUCUUCGGAUUGUAAAACUCUGUUAUUAGGGAAGAACAAAUGUGUAAGUAACUAUGCACGUCUUGACGGUACCUAAUCAGAAAGCCACGGCUAACUACGUG